This is an RNA transcript of Xiphophorus hellerii (green swordtail), 2250 nucleotides long. It is a transcript of the gene named LHFPL tetraspan subfamily member 4b, with no coding region annotated. The record is from RefSeq and is a predicted model, not a curated record. The transcript has 6 exons. Lineage: Eukaryota; Metazoa; Chordata; Actinopteri; Cyprinodontiformes; Poeciliidae.
CUCUUCCAUAAAUACAAAAUAAUAUGUUCAUAAUAUAAUUAUGCGUUUAUUUACCUGAAUGAAGAAAAGAGACGAGGAGAAUUUCAUGAACUAUUUAUGUUUUGAUAAAACUGAAGAUUUAUUUUUGAAUAGAAUUUCUAAAUGCUCCGUAAAUCUGUAGUAUUUAAUCAGAUUUCUGUUUCUGGAUGAAAAUCUGCCAGAUUGGGGCAGAUUAUCUUCUGUUACCAUGGUGAUGAACCCAGAGCCUGUUUCCAUAGUGACAGAGUCUGUUAGACUGGAGCAUCCGGGAACUUUGCCUCCUCUUCCUCCCGCUGCAGAAAGCCCUCCUCCUCUUCAUCACCAUCUUCCUCUUCCUCAGACCGCAGUCCGUCGCGGCUCCAGCUCAGGUUCGGUUCGGUUCUCUUCGUGUUUCCUGUCUGCUGAUUUUUGAAGCGUGAACGCGCCUCGGCUCGUGCAUGUGUCGGUAAAUCUGACAGACGAUGACGUGACGUCUGCGUGUCGGCGCUUUGAUGUUUGAUAGGCUGCUGUUUGGGCCGAACUCUGCGCUGGUUCCGGUCGGGUUCUCCAGAACCUAUCCCCCGCCCCCCUCCAGGAUGUCGGUGUCUCCGGGCCUCGCCGACCUUUCCCGCCUCUACCAGACCGAGUUCGUGCGCAGCGCGCGCGCGGUCGGCGUGCUGUGGGCCGUGUGCACGCUCUGCUUCGCCAUCAUCCAGGUGGUCAUCCUGGUCCAGCCGUCCUGGGUCGGAACCACGGCCUCCCGGACGCAGCGGGCCGGGCCGCCGCUGCCCAGCGGAACCAUGGGACUGUUUGAGGUCUGCCUGGAGUCGGACUGGCCGGCCCCGGACUGCCGCGGCGGUCUGUCCAGCCUGUCUCCGCUGCCGUCCUUCCAGUCGGUGGCCGUGUUGGUGGGCGUGUCUCUGUGGGCGGUGUGGACCAGCGUCCUGUGUCUCUGUCUCUUCCGAUUCUGCAGCGCUGCCACCGUCUACAAGAUCUGCGCCUGGCUGCAGCUGACAGCAGGCUUCUGUCUCGCCCUGGCGUGUCUCCUGUUUCCCGACUCGUGGGAGAGUCCAGAGAUGAGAGUUCUGUGCGGAGACUCGACCAGCAGCCUGGUUACCAUGGCGAUGUUCACUGCUGGUGUCAGGCUCCUGGUUUAAGCUCCGCCCCCUUCCCCAGGUGGGCAGCUUCUCUCCAGGUAACUGCUCCGUCCACUGGGCCUACAUCCUGGCGCUGCUGGGCAUCUUGGACUACGCCAUCCUGGCCACGCUGGCCUUCGUCCUGGCCAACCGGCAGGACGCCCUGCUGCCGCCCGACGCCCCGGACGUGACCGCAGGCCUGCUGAUGUCCGCCUGAGGAGGUGAGUCCUCUCUUCUUCUGCUGCCUCGGCUCUUCUUCUUCUCAUGUCUCUCCUCUUCCUCAGAGAUCUGCCCACACCGCCAUGUUUCAUCAUCUUCAUCAACAGAGGAGCGUUCUCCAGACGUGGGAUUGUUUUAGUGGAACUGUUGAAGUUCCUGCAUGUGGUGAACAGACAUGAGCCAGGUUCCCUAAAGGUUCCCUGGACGUUCCCUCGUUGUUCCCUACAGAUCCACAGUGGGUGGAACUGCAGAGUUAGUUGGUGAAAACUGUUUAACUUCACGCUAAAUAUUUAGCUUAUUUACUAAAUGCAUGAUUCAAAGUAAAUAAUUAUCUUAAAUGAAAUAUUUAGCUUACCAUUUAGUUUGGAGCUAGUUAGCUUGCUAAGCUAAAGCUUCAGCUUUCAAACUAAAUAUUUAACUUGCAAAAGAUGAAGUUCCCUUCCUUGGAGCAGCUGACAGUCCAACAGAAACCCGCUCCCAGGUCCAGUGAGGCGGACCCGGUCAGAACCACCUGGACUUUUUUUGUCCAGGUGGUUCAGAACUUUUUGCCCGUCUCUGUUUUGCUCUUUUCUCCGUUGCUCAUUAACAUUUAGAACCUGAUGUGGAAAAAUUACAGUUAGGUUCCACCUGCUGGUUGUAUUGCUAUAUGUUUAUUCUAAGUUCUGUAUUUUCCCACCAAGUUAAAGCUGUUUGGGUUUCAUGUACAGGGUUGGACCUUGUUUUCCCAGCUGCAGGGGAACCAGCCUGAUUCCAGGCUUUGGAUCCCUUUGUACAAAACUCAUGUGUUUCUCUGCCUGGCAGAGCUUUCUGUUUCAGACCUGCUUCAUUACUGACUGUCCUGUGACUCUCUGAGUUGUGCACAAUUCAUGAAUAAACCUGAUUGAGUGAUUUCACCUGA